GAUGAACGCUAGCGGGAGGCUUAACACAUGCAAGUCGAGGGGCAGCAUAGGGUAGCAAUACUCUGAUGGCGACCGGCAAACGGGUGAGUAACGCGUAUGCAACCUACCCUGUACAGGGGGAUAACCCGGAGAAAUUCGGACUAAUAUCCCGUAAUAAUAUCCGGAGGCAUCUUUGGAUAUUUAAAGUUCCGACGGUACGGGAUGGGCAUGCGUAACAUUAGCUGGUUGGUAAGGUAACGGCUUACCAAGGCUAUGAUGUUUAGGGGUCCUGAGAGGGUGGUCCCCCACACUGGUACUGAGACACGGACCAGACUCCUACGGGAGGCAGCAGUGAGGAAUAUUGGUCAAUGGGCGCAAGCCUGAACCAGCCAUCCCGCGUGCAGGAAGACGGCCCUAUGGGUUGUAAACUGCUUUUCCAGGGAGAGAAACUUACGCACGUGUUGCGUGACUGACGGUACCCUGGGAAUAAGCAUCGGCUAACUCCGUGCCAGCAGCCGCGGUAAGAUC
This 507-nucleotide ribosomal RNA is filed under the name uncultured bacterium. RNAcentral describes it as "bacterial SSU rRNA". It matches the Rfam family "Bacterial small subunit ribosomal RNA", at positions 28 to 526 of the family's 1533-position model. The record is from RNAcentral.